CUGGUGCUGCUCAGGUCAUCAGCAUGAUUCUAGAGUCACUGAGUCAUCUUGGCACUGUUCCAGGAAGACUUUGGUCCCUUUUAAAUUGCUGGUUGCAACUCAAAAGGACCUUAACUAAUAUACCUAGCCCCCUGAUGGGUAGGUGAAUGAUGGACCGAAGAAAGGAGCCCUUAGUGGGCCACCUGAUUAUUCUCAUCAAAAAUGGUAGAUGAGGGAAGCUGAUGUGGCUCAAGCAAUUAAGCUCCUGCCUACCACAUGGGAGGUCCUGGGUUUGGUUCCUGGUGCCUCCUGGAGAAGACAAGACAGCAAGCUGGUGUGACAGGCAGGCACAGCAAGCUGAUGCAACAGAGAGACACUAAAAGGAAAGACAGGCACACAACAAAGCAGGGAGCUGGGGUGGCUCAAGUGAUUGACUGCCUUUCCCCCACAUGGGAGGUCCCAAGUUCAGUUCCUGGUGCCUCCUAAAGAGAAGACAAGCAGACACAGAGCACACAACAAAAUGGACACAUAGAGCAGACAGCAAAUGCAAACAAUGAGGGGUGAAAAUAAAACUUUUUUAAACACAAUAGAGGGAGUGGAUGUGGCUUAUGUGGCUGAACACCUGCUUCCCACAUGGGAGGUCCCAGGUUUGAUCCCAGUGCCUCCUAAAAACAAAAUAACAAGCAAACAAAUGAAAAAAAAAACAACUCAGGGGAGCCAGUGUGGUUCAGUGGUUGAGCGCCCAUGCCAGGUUCCCACAUACGGAGUCCUGGUUCAAUCCCGGCCCUGGUACCUCAAAAAAAAAAAAAAAAAAAAAAGUGGUAGACAAGAAUCAGACAUACUGGAACUGACAAACCACAAUUCAGAUAGAUACUGAGAACUACAAAACAAAAUCUAUUAAAAAAGCUGAUUUGACUAUAGCUCAUCUAAGUUGGCUUCUUAUACUCCAUACCUAAUGCUAACACUGUAUAUAAACAAUUGUACAUAUUUUGUGAUAUCAAUUAUUCUGUACAUAUUAUAAUGCUAAUCUGUUUAGCAUGCUUAGACUUCAUGGCCUAUGGCUUAUAUCCAAGCUCACUCUUUACAACCUCUAGAAAUUAGAGUGAACACUCUCAGACCCUUCUCCUGUUUGAAGCGUACCCAACCAGCUCUAUUCUCUGAAUGUUCCUCCGUGUUAGCUGCCACAAAUCUUUCUUAAAAGACCAGACUAUUAAAACUGAAGGGAGAGGGAAACAGAUGUGGCUUAACCAAUUGGGCUCCUGUCUACCAUAUAGGAGGUCCAGGGUUCGAUGCCCAGGGCCUCCUGGUGAGGGCAAGCUGGCCCAUGCAGCGACCUGGCCCAUGCGGAGUGCUGGCCCACACAGGAAUGCUGCCCUACACAGGAGUGCCCCCUGCGUGGGAAUGCCACCCAGUGCAGGAAAGCCACCCUGCACAGGAGUGCUGGCCAA
This 1427-nucleotide long non-coding RNA is filed under the name Dasypus novemcinctus (nine-banded armadillo). RNAcentral describes it as "lncRNA (ENSDNOG00000051855.1)". Lineage: Eukaryota; Metazoa; Chordata; Mammalia; Cingulata; Dasypodidae. The record is from RNAcentral.